RNAcentral lists this ribosomal RNA (138 nucleotides) under uncultured eukaryote. Its description in RNAcentral is "partial 18S ribosomal RNA". It matches the Rfam family "Eukaryotic small subunit ribosomal RNA", at positions 1299 to 1458 of the family's 1831-position model. The record is from RNAcentral.
UGGUGGAGUGAUUUGUCUGGUUAAUUCCGUUAACGAACGAGACCUCGACCUGCUAAAUAGGACGCGGAAUCCUAGAUUCCGACGUGCUUCUUAGAGGGACUAUCGGUGUGUAGCCGAUGGAAGUUCGAGGCAAUAACA